RNAcentral lists this ribosomal RNA (522 nucleotides) under uncultured bacterium. RNAcentral describes it as "bacterial SSU rRNA". It matches the Rfam family "Bacterial small subunit ribosomal RNA", at positions 21 to 499 of the family's 1533-position model. The record is from RNAcentral.
GGCUCAGGAUGAACGCCGGCGGUGUGCCUAAUACAUGCAAGUCGUACGCACUGGCCCAACUGAUUGAUGGUGCUUGCACCUGAUUGACGAUGGAUCACCAGUGAGUGGCGGACGGGUGAGUAACACGUAGGUAACCUGCCCCGGAGCGGGGGAUAACAUUUGGAAACAGAUGCUAAUACCGCAUAACAACAAAAGCCACAUGGCUUUUGUUUGAAAGAUGGCUUUAGCUAUCACUCUGGGAUGGACCUGCGGUGCAUUAGCUAGUUGGUAAGGUAACGGCUUACCAAGGCGAUGAUGCAUAGCCGAGUUGAGAGACUGAUCGGCCACAAUGGAACUGAGACACGGUCCAUACUCCUACGGGAGGCAGCAGUAGGGAAUCUUCCACAAUGGGCGCAAGCCUGAUGGAGCAACACCGCGUGAGUGAAGAAGGGUUUCGGCUCGUAAAGCUCUGUUGUUGGAGAAGAACGUGCGUGAGAGUAACUGUUCACGCAGUGACGGUAUCCAACCAGAAAGUCACGGCUA